CCUACGGGAGGCAGCAGUGGGGAAUCUUGCGCAAUGGUCGCAAGGCUGACGCAGCGACGCCGCGUGGAGGACGAAGGCCUUCGGGUUGUAAACUCCUUUUCUGGGGGACGAGUAAGGUCAGUAGGUAAUGGCUGACCGAUGACGGUACCCCAGGAACAAGCGCCGGCUAACUUCGUGCCAGCAGCCGCGGUAAUACGAAGGGCGCAAGCGUUAUCCGGAAUUACUGGGCGUAAAGGGCGUCUAGGCGGUCGGUCAAGUCAGUCGUGAAAGUCCUUGGCUAAACUGAGGAAAGUCGACCGAUACUGAUCGGCUAGAGGGACGUAGAGGUAAGCGGAACCCUCGGAGUAGCGGUGAAAUGCGUAGAGACCGAGAGGUACCCCGAUGGUGAAGACAGCUUACUGGGCGUCUCCUGACGCUGAAGCGCUAAGGCCAGGGGAGCGAAGGGGAUUAGAUACCCCCGUAGUCCUGGCUUCAAACUAUGUGGGCUUGGUGUCGGCUCC
RNAcentral lists this ribosomal RNA (500 nucleotides) under uncultured KB1 group bacterium. Its description in RNAcentral is "bacterial SSU rRNA". It matches the Rfam family "Bacterial small subunit ribosomal RNA", at positions 338 to 830 of the family's 1533-position model. The record is from RNAcentral. Lineage: Bacteria; Candidatus Calescibacteriota.